This is a long non-coding RNA of Cyprinus carpio (common carp), 746 nucleotides long. Lineage: Eukaryota; Metazoa; Chordata; Actinopteri; Cypriniformes; Cyprinidae. The record is from Ensembl.
GUCUACAAUAUAGAGAUCAACAGCUCUUUUAAGAGCCAACUCUCACAAACCUUGAUAAAAACUAAAAGAGCUAUUACUGAGUCUCAGCGAAUCUUGCCAUGAUCAGCCCUUCCCAGAAGAGAAGGAAGACCAAGGAAAUUAUUUGUUCAGGAUGAGGAAUGAAGACGGCCAUCUUGUGCUCAAACAAAGACAGAAAGUCCACUGAUGAUCUCAUCAGUCAAGUGAGGGGUUUUGACCAAGUGAUGCUCUUGAAAGGAGUGAAAGAAGAGGAUGUGGUAAAUUGUCUUAAGAGAAAAAGUUUCUCAAAAGGUCCUAAAACAGCUUGAAGAAUGGUCUGGGAUCUGUCUGAAAAUGGGAUGUUAGGACUGAGAGAUCCUCUUUCUGAGAAAAAGCUAUACCACAUCACUGCUAAAUAUCAACCACAAACUGUUUACAGACACGAGAAGAUCACAAUGGAGAAAUGAAACCAGUUUAGAUGUGAUGAUAAGGAAUCAUUAUUUUCUGAAACAGUAUCACAUGUCUUAUAUGUAUCACAUGAUCUGUAUCACAGUUGACUGGAUGGAAUUUUUUGACUUUUAACCACAUUUCAUUACUCAUCUGUGUGAACUGAUUAAUUUAUGAUAUUAAUGAAUUUUUGAUUAUCCAUUAUUAUUUUCCUUGAAUCUUAUUUGUCUUGAUGCUACUUUAUCAACUUAAUUGUUAUGUCUUGUCAUGUCUUGUUCCAGUUCUUUCUUUUUACUCUGUCU